This 2148-nucleotide ribosomal RNA is filed under the name Triticum aestivum (bread wheat). RNAcentral's name for it is "partial small subunit ribosomal RNA". Lineage: Eukaryota; Viridiplantae; Streptophyta; Magnoliopsida; Poales; Poaceae. The record is from RNAcentral.
GAUAUUGAGCCAGACCCUGGUAAGAGAAUACCUAUUGGAAAUUUGGAUCCCAACAUUAGAGAUCUUGCUAGAAGGGAGUACAUUAGUAUGGGCCCUUGCCGACCAACUAAUCAUAAAUAUGAACGGAAAUGGGUAGGAAAAGGGUUUAGAAGCUUUCAUGAUUCUUGGUACAAAAAUCAUAGUGGCUGGUUGGAAUGUAGCGUUGAUAAAAAUGCAGCCUUUUGUUGCUUUCUACUUAAGCAACCAAGAGCUGACAACUAUGGUGUUCAAGCAUUCACUAAGAACGGAUUUAAGAAUUGGAAGGAUGGACCUAAAAUUCUUUGUGAACAUGUUGGUAAACAUGAUAGUGCUCAUAAUAAGGCUAGACAACACCAUUAGGCUUCCAAAAAUCAGAGGCAAGGUGUUAUCAAAUUUUUGCUGCUACAAGGUCUUGCUUCUCGUGGACAUGAUGAGUCUACUAGCUCAAAGAAUAAGGGUAACGUUAAGGAGUUGUUGGUCUGGCUCAUGGAGAAGGACCGAGAUGCACGAAAAUUGAUUGGGGAUGCAGGAGUGAACUAUAAGCUAACUUCACCUGAGAUACAAUUGGACAUGUGCAAUGCUUGUGCAGAAGAGACCACCAAAACCAUUGUUGAUGAAAUUGGAGAUAGUAAAUUUUCCUUACUUGUUGAUGAGUCCAGAGAUGCAUCUAUCAAGGAGCAAAUGGCUAUGUGUUUGAGGCAUCUUAGCAGCCGAGGGGAGGUGAUUGAGAGGUUUAUUGCAAUCAAGCAUGUUCCUGACACGCGGGCAACUUCACUCAAGGUAGUUUUGGAUGGUAUAUUUGCUACUCAGGGCUUGUCUAUGUCUAAUUUGAGAGGGCAAGGUUAUGAUGGGGCUUCAAAUAUGAGAGGGGAAUUUCGUGGUUUGCAAAUAUUGAUCUUGGAGGAAAAUCCGUAUGCUCAUUAUAUACACUGCUUUGCCCAUCAAUUGCAAUUAGUUGUUGUUGCUCUUGCAAAGUGUUGUUCAUCAGUAAGAGAUUUUUUUUACACUAGCAUGGUUGUAAACAUUGUUAAUGCUUCAUGUAAAAGACAUGACCAGUUAUCCCAAGAGCAACAUGAUGAAUUUGUGCACCAAGUGGAAGCCGGGGAACUUCCUGGGGGGAAAGGAAAAAACCAAUUAACUAACCUUGCAAGACCCGAUGUUGCACAAAGAACCUUUGCUAGUGGGUUGAUAAAGCACAUGGAAACAUUUGAAUUUGUUCUCAUAUUGCAUCUUAUGAUUAGAUUAUUGGGCAAGACUAAUGAUCUAUAGCAGUGCUUGCAACAGAAAAAACUGCAUAUUCUUCGUGCCGUGGGAUUGAUUAAAACCACAAUGGAAAAAAUGCAAGAGAUAAGGCAGAAUGAUUAGGAUGAGCUCUUCCAAGAGGUAACUAACUUCUGUCUCAAGUACAAUAUUGUAGUGCCAAAUAUGGAAGAUACAAGAACUGUUAAUGGUCGUUCAAGAACUUGGGGUGGCCAAUUGGUAACUUACCACCAUCAUUUCAGAAAUGAAAUAUUCAAUGUGGUGCAUGAUCAAAUUAUUGUGGAAUUAAACAACCGCUUUACUGAAAGAUCUACUUAAUUGUUAAGAUGCAUUGCUUGUCUUGAUCCGAAGAAUUCUUUUGCCAAUUAUGAUGAAGACAAGCUUGUUGACCUUGCUAGUAUGUAUGAUGCUGACUUCUUUGCAUAUGAAGUUAGUUUUGUCCUUAGAAAUCAAUUGGACUCGUUCAUUCAUGAAGCAAGAGUUGAUCCACAUUUGAUGAAUUGUAAUGACCUUGGUCAUCUUGCCAUGAAGAUGGUUUUGAGUAAUAUGCACACAACAUUUCUGUUGGUUUACUGCCUUGUUGAGUUAGUAUUAAUAUUACCUGUUGCAACCGCAACAAUGGAAAGGGCCUUCUCGGCAAUGAGCAUUAUCAAGACUGACUUGAGGAACAGGAUGGGUGAUGAUUGGUUGAAUCACAGAAUGGUAUGUUACAUUGAGCGGGAUGUAUUUGUUAGUAUUGAAGUGUCAAAGAUCAUUGAGCGAUUUUAGGGUUAUCACGCACGCAAAGGCAUUUUACCUCGUCCUAGAGUUAAUGUUUCAUAUUUUGUAUCCAGUAGCAAUUUUUUACUUGCUUUUUAUGCACCGACUUGA